AUGCUUUCAGAGGUUUCCAAAGAUAGCCAGGUUGCUGCAGCCAUAAAGAUCUCCAGGAUAACUGUAGACAAAAGGAGUUUAUGUUGUUUUUCACAAGUUGUAAUCUAUCCAAUUAAUAUUAAGGAGCCUUUCUACAUGAACUGUCAAUGGAGGAGAAGUCAAGCAAAGGGGACUUGCUGCCUGCCACGUCUGCCUCCUGCUGUGAAAUCACAACAAUGCAACCAGGAAUAGCUGGUAAAAGUCCCAGUCUUGAACACAGGGGUGUAAUUUCCUAUGAUAAAUAGUUUGGACAAAGGCUAAUCAAAAUUACUUUCUGGUUCUACCUUAUUCAGCAAGACAAAUGCAUGACAUGGUCCCAGAGGCAGGGAUUUGCUUUAAUUUGCAGAUGUCUUUGCUCACAUCUGUUUGACCACGUUGGCAGCCCCCCUCCCCCAUCUCUUUGCACCUGGGUGGGGCACGGGCCCAUAUGUCCUGGCACCAUGGCCUUUUCACCUGCAGACCUGCCUCCAUAGGCUGAGUACCAUUCACCUCAUCCACUGCAGGAAGUUACUCUCUCACAUGCUUCAAAUGUACAUUCCAGAAAGCAAAAGGGUUUCCAAUGAUUUGAAGACAGUGACGCUGACAGUGUGCAUUACCAUUCUCAUCUCUAGGACCUCCCAGUUCUUUCAGCAGCCUGAUGGGCAUAUGUAGUCUAUAUGGUCAAAUGGGCAAGAAGAUGUAAGGAAAUCCUUUUUUUAAAACUUGGAUAUAUAUUUUUUUUAACUUGGAUACUUGGAUCACAAAAGGAAAUCUCAAGACUUUGACUUGAGGCACCAUUUCUACAUGGGUUGAAGGAUUUCAAGAAGCAUCCCAAGUAGGGCAACCAGAUCUGCUAAGACGGUAUCUCUACAGCUUUUGGACUUAGCUAAUGACAUCAGGGAAAAGGGAAGGUCAGUUUCCUUUGUGUGAAAUGGCAAACAUGUGAGCAGGGACUUGUAAGUUCAGACCAUACCAUAAGCAGGCUUCAGUGUUUCACGCCUUCUGUUUUUAUUGCUUUGUGAGAUGGACCAAUUAAAACAAUCCAAAGGCCACAUUUAUGAAUAGCUCUCUGAUGAGACCAACUUCCCUUGGUGUGAGCCUCACACAGUGGAUAUAUAGCGACAGUAUCUGAGUAGGAAAUGUUGGCUGGAGUGAGAGGGAUUCCACAGAGUGGGUGUCUUUCCCCGUCCUAGGUCUUAACCUUUCAUAGUGAGACAGACAACUAGGAAAGUAGGAAAUAGAAACAAGCUAUGUUUAGCUGAAUUUUACAUACCAUAAUCUCUUUACCAUGGUCAAGCAAGGCAGGAAUGUUCAGGCCGAUCGGUUCUGGCUCAAAUCCAUUCCAGAGGGAAGUGAUUUACAACUUAGCACCAUCCUUGUCUCUUCCCUGAGAGUGAAGUUAAAUGACCCAAGAAUAACAUUAGUCUGCCCCAGGCCUCGC
This 1459-nucleotide long non-coding RNA is filed under the name Callithrix jacchus (white-tufted-ear marmoset). Its description in RNAcentral is "lncRNA (ENSCJAG00000083461.1)". The record is from RNAcentral. Lineage: Eukaryota; Metazoa; Chordata; Mammalia; Primates; Cebidae.